CGUCCUACGGGACGCAGCAGUGGGGAAUAUUGGGCAAUGGGCGCAAGCCUGACCCAGCAACGCCGCGUGAAGGAAGAAGGCUUUCGGGUUGUAAACUUCUUUUCUCAGGGACGAAGCAAGUGACGGUACCUGAGGAAUAAGCCCCGGCUAACUACGUGCCAGCAGCCGCGGUAAUACGUAGGGGGCAAGCGUUAUCCGGAUUUACUGGGUGUAAAGGGAGCGUAGACGGCUAAUCAAGUCAGAAGUGAAAACCCAGGGCUCAACCUUGGGACUGCUUUUGAAACUGAGUAGCUAGAGUGCAGGAG
Molecule: ribosomal RNA, 305 nt
Filed under: uncultured bacterium
Lineage: Bacteria
Description: bacterial SSU rRNA
Rfam family: Bacterial small subunit ribosomal RNA
Source: RNAcentral